RNAcentral lists this long non-coding RNA (526 nucleotides) under Struthio camelus australis. RNAcentral's name for it is "lncRNA (ENSSCUG00000007325.1)". The record is from RNAcentral. Lineage: Eukaryota; Metazoa; Chordata; Aves; Struthioniformes; Struthionidae.
GAAAAGCAUUUCUGUAAUAGAGACCAAGGGAGUGAGCAAAGGAAGUUUUCUUCAGCACUUAAGAAAGAGGAAAACCCUAAAUUCGCUUGUUCAGCCUAAACCAGCCUAAAAUUCCCACGUAUUUCUGUUCUGCUCUUAGGGAAGACUAUUUGAAGACUCAUAACCAAGAGAAACGCUUGGAACUACAUUUCUCCAUGAUAAGGCCUUUUAAAAAUUCUGUUUGGACAGCAUCUCUACAGAACUGCCACUGUGCUGAACAAGGCUUGGUGGAAAAAUUACUCUGCUGAGAUAAGCUCUUAAUUAAUGCACAGAGAUCCUGAAAGUCCCACCUCUCAACAGUAAUGACUGACAUCCAAGGAUACAUAAACUGCACUAAUUGAGCUUUCCAUCUAUGAACUUUUCUGCAGCCAACUCAUCAGAAAAGAUACUCUGUGUCGCAGCGCAGGCUCUAGAGCAUGCUCUUUCCAUGGAAUCGUUCCUUUCUCUCAUGACUGAGGCUGCUGAGAAUGCAGACUUUUGCAGAUGA